This 450-nucleotide ribosomal RNA is filed under the name uncultured Glomus. RNAcentral's name for it is "SSU rRNA". It matches the Rfam family "Eukaryotic small subunit ribosomal RNA", at positions 569 to 1025 of the family's 1831-position model. Lineage: Eukaryota; Fungi; Glomeromycota; Glomeromycetes; Glomerales; Glomeraceae. The record is from RNAcentral.
AGCAGCCGCGGUAAUUCCAGCUCCAAUAGCGUAUAUUAAAGUUGUUGCAGUUAAAAAGCUCGUAGUUGAAUUUCGAGACCGGCUUACUGGUCGUGCUUUUGUGCGUACUGGUAUAAUCGGUUUCUCCUUUCUGACGAACUUUAAUGCCAUUAAUUUGGUGUUUUAGGGAAUCAGGACUGUUACUUUGAAAAAUUAGAGUGUUUAAAGCAGGCUCACGCUUGAAUACAUUAGCAUGGAAUAACGGAAUAGGACGUUUGAUUCUAUUUUGUUGGUUUCUAGGAUCGACGUAAUGAUUAAUAGGGAUAGUUGGGGGCAUUAGUAUUCAAUUGUCAGAGGUGAAAUUCUUGGAUUUAUUGAAGACUAACUACUGCGAAAGCAUUUGCCAAGGAUGUUUUCAUUAAUCAAGAACGAAAGUUAGGGGAUCGAAGACGAUCAGAUACCGUCGUAGUC